UUUUAAUAAAAUGGGAUGUUGAAUAAAUAAAUAAAAUAUAAACUAUUUAUUAAUUUUUUUUUUUUAAAAAAAAAUUUAAUAAAAAUAAUUUUUAUUAAAUUAAGGUUUUUGUAUAAUUUUUAGAUUUAAUAAUUUUAAUUAUAGUGUAUUAGUAUAGUAAUAUAAAAUUGAAAUAUUAUGAUAUUUUAAUAUAUUCAAAGAAAAUUUUAAUUAUUGUACCUUGUGUAUCAGGGUUUAUUAAAUAAAGAAUAAUUAUCUAUUUUUCUCGAUUUUAAGAGGUCAAUUGAUUUAUAAAAUUUAAUGUAAAAUAAUUAUUAAAAAUAAAUUAAUAGAAAUGAAAUAUUAUUCGUUCUUAAAUAUAUCUAGUUUUUUAAGAAAUAAAUUUAAUUUAUAUGUUUAAAAUUAAAUUAAGUAUUUAUUUACUAAAUUUAAUUAUUUUAAAUAUAAAUUUAUUUAGGGAUAAGCUUAAAUAAAAAUUAUUAAAAAUAAAUUUAUAUUUAGGAUAAAUGUAAGCUUAGAAUUAGUUAUUAUAAAUAAAUAUGUAAAAAUUUAUUGAUAAUAAAUUAAUAUUUAUUUUAUUUUAAUUUUUUAUUAAAUUAUUAAUUUUAAUAAAAAAAAAUUAAUUUAUAAUGAUAAAAUUAGUAUAAUAAAAUUUAUAUAAAAAUAAAAUUUAUAUUUUUAAUAUAUAUAUAUAUGUAUAUUAAUAAAUAUUAUAUAUUUUUUAAAAGAAUUAGGCAAAUAUAAUGUUCACCUGUUUAUCAAAAACAUGUCUUUUAGUAAUUUAUUAAAAGUCUAACCUGCCCAUUGAUUUUAUUUAAAGGCUGCGGUAUUUUGACCGUACAAAGGUAGCAUAAUCAUUAGUUUUUUAAUUGGAAACUUGUAUGAAUGGUUGGAUGAAACAUUGACUUUUUUUAAAAAAAAAAUGAAUUUUACUUUUUAAUUAAAAGGUUAAAAUAUAAUUAAAAGACGAGAAGACCCUAUAGAGUUUAAUAUUUUUAAAAUAUUUAUAUUAAUAAGAUUAAUAAUUAUUAUAUUGAAAAAAUUAUUUUGUUGGGGUGAUAAUAAAAUUUAUUUAACUUUUAUAAUAUUAAUUUAUACAUUAAUAUAUGAAAAAUUGAUCCAUUAUUAAUGAUUAUUAGUUUAAAUUACCUUAGGGAUAACAGCGUAAUUUUUUUUUAAGUUCUUAUUAAUAAAAAAGUUUGCGACCUCGAUGUUGGAUUAAGAUUAAUUUUAGGUGCAGAAGUUUAAAAUUUAAGUCUGUUCGACUUUUAAAUUCUUACAUGAUCUGAGUUCAAACCGGUGUAAGCCAGGUUGGUUUCUAUCUUUAAUUAAAAAUUAUACUUUAGUACGAAAGGACCAAAUAUAAUAUAUAAUUAUUUAUAAAAAAAAAAGAAUAAAAUUAAUAAUUAAAUUUU
Molecule: ribosomal RNA, 1415 nt
Filed under: Trichosia lengersdorfi
Lineage: Eukaryota; Metazoa; Arthropoda; Insecta; Diptera; Sciaridae
Description: 16S ribosomal RNA
Source: RNAcentral